UGUUAUCUGAUAGGCUGUCUUCCACAUUUAUUCUCGUCCUUUAAGACUGCUUGCUCUUCUUAGCACUGUGCAUUUCUGUAUAAAUUUUAGAAUCCACUGUCCAUUAAGUCAGGCCCCUUACCCCCCAGAGAAGCAUGCUGAGGUUUUGAUUAUAAUUUUUAGGUAGAUAUUUGGUGGUUGUUUUGAUCAAAUUGAGGGCUUUCCCCUACUGUUUCUGGUCUGCAAAGAUUGUUUUUUUUUUACUUAAGAAUACUGUUGAACUUUGUCCAGAGUAAACAUUUUUGCAUCUUUGGGAUUUCCAUUAAACCACUAUUAUGAUUAUCUCACAGUGUUGAUUUUAUUGUACUUCUUUCCUGGAAACACUAAAAUGAACCAAAAGUACAAGAGGAUUGUGAAUAAAAUUCCAUUUACAAUAAUACUAGGAAAUAAAUCAGCACAAACUCAUAUGAAGGAGAUGUGUGAGUUUACACAUAUCUUCCCAGAUAUCAUACAUUAUGCAUAUUUCAUUUUAGGAAAAAGAGGAAGGAAGGAAGGAAGGCUGGAGGAAGGGAGAAAGGAAGGAAGGCAGAAAGGAAGGAAGGCAGGAAGGCAGGAAGGCAGGCAGGAAGGAAGGCAGGAAGGAAGGCAGGCAGGAAGGCAGACAGGAAGGAAGGCAGGAAGGCAGGCAGGAAGGCAGACAGGAAGGAAGGCAGGAAAGAAGGAAGGAAGGAAGGUAGACAGGUUCCUGAGCCAGAAUCCUCAACUGAAACACUGAAUUCUGAAGACAUGAAGGGACACAGGAGAGGUGAAGCUCUAUGAAGGACAAGCUCCAAUAGGAAAAAAUAAUGUCAGGGGCUGGGGGUGGGUAGCAUAAGAACUACAUUUUCAGCUACCAGCUGCCUUCACUUUUUUUCAUUCUUGGAAUUGCUCCCCUCCCCAAUCUGUUACCAAGCAAAAGUCAGGCCAAGAAAAGGUUGCCAUAAUUCAAAAAUAAGUAAUAAACUGGAAUGUUUAAAGAUAGUGGGUUGACAUUGUCCAUAAACAGUAAGAAACAAAGAAAUCAGAAAGAGAAUAAAGGAACACAAAAAUAAUACACAAAAGGCAGAGAAAGUAUAACCACAGAAAAAUAAAAUUACCCCCAGGUGAUGUAAGAGAAAGUUAACCAUUUUUUUAUAACUUGAAUAAGUUUAAAAUUAUGAACAAAAAUGAAAUCAAAGAAGAAAUCAUAGGACAGAGGAGGCAUGAAAGGAGUAACAAUGAGCUGGCAAAGAUUAUUCAAAAAAAAAGAAAAAAAAACUAUUGCUGAAAUGAAACCAUGUUAGAAGCAUCAAGCAGACAGUGCAGAAAUAAACGGGACUGGUAUGAAGAAAUAAAGCAGAAGAGAGAAAAAAGGCAAUAGAUGUGGAAGAGAGAUAACUAGGAGCUAAUGUAUGGGUUGUUAUUUUUACAAUAGUUCUCACCUGGGAAAGUAAUGUUCUUACCAGAGGAAUAUAUCAAUCUGGCUUUUUAAUUCUAUUCUGCAAUUUUCAGUGUCAGAGGUAACUGAAUGAUUUCUUCAGAAUUGUGAGUGAGGAAAAGUGUGAUCCCAAAGUUGUAUAACCUUCUAAGUAGUGCACGAUUCCAGGGACACCUUCACAGAGAAUGAUGGUGCAUUGUGCUUCUGGAGGUACCACGAACAUUCCAUUCUAGGUGAAAAAUGCCUCUGAGGGUUACAUAAUGGGGACAUUUGCCUGCCUUGCAGGUAAUGGAAAAUCCUCUUAAACAUGCAUUAACAGGAAAAACAGGCACCCAUGAACUUUCUUGCAAAAUUGCUUUAAAGACAACAUAAUGUCAAUCAAUACCUAAGUAAAGGUGAAUAAAGCAUCUAGGUCUAGACAAGCAAUCGUAUAAAAAGUGUUAAAUGUGUCCCUAUAAGAGACUACCUGAGCAGGCUUAGUGUGAGCAACAAGGCUGUUUAUUCACUUGGGUGAAAGUGGGCUGAAUCUGAGAAACGUGUCAGCAAAGGGUGGUGGGAUUAUCAUUAGUUUAUAGGUUUGGGAUAGGCAGUGGAGUUAGGAGCAGUUUUUUUGCGGGCAGGGAGUGGAUGUUACAAAGUACAUUCUCAAGGGAGGGAGGAUGUAUCAUACAAAGUACAUUCACAAGGGCUGGGAGGGUGUAUUGUCACAAGGGCAGGGUACAUUCACAAGCGUGGGGAGGAUGUAUUGUACAAAGUACAUUCACAAGGGCGGGGGAAUAUCACAAAGUACAUUAUCACAAGGGCAGGGGGAUGUCACGAUAGCUUGACCAUGGUGCGGCCAGCUCAGAGGACCUUAAAAAAAGGAGAAUGGAUUUGAUGCUGGGAGUGUAUGGAAUAAGGACUAGCCUGUACUUUAUCAAAGAACAUGACCAGCACCUUGGUGUGGAUAUGGUUAUGCUUGGAAGGAGAGCAAAGGGACCAACCUAUGCCACUAGAAUAUUCCAGCUCAGGGGUUCAGCAGAUGUCACAAAGACCUGGGGCGUUUUAGAUUCACUCCUACUCUGACCUGUCCUUCUUUGCCCUAAGCUUGCCAAGUUAUUUUAGAAGAUGAUCUGACUGCCAAAUAAAGAAGAUGCAUUGAA
This is a long non-coding RNA of Symphalangus syndactylus (siamang), 2577 nucleotides long. RefSeq lists it as uncharacterized. The record is from RefSeq and is a predicted model, not a curated record. NCBI's taxonomy places the organism in Eukaryota, Metazoa, Chordata, Mammalia, Primates, Hylobatidae.